UACAGAGGGUGCAAGCGUUAAUCGGAGUUACUGGGCGUAAAGGGCGCGUAGGCGGUGAGAUGUGUGUGAUGUGAAAGCCCCGGGCUUAACCUGGGAAGUGCAUCGCAAACUGUCUGACUGGAGUAUAUGAGAGGGUGGCGGAAUUUCCGGUGUAGCGGUGAAAUGCGUAGAGAUCGGAAGGAACGUCAAUGGCGAAGGCAGCCACCUGGCAUAAUACUGACGCUGAGGCGCGAAAGCGUGGGUAGCAAACAGGAUUAGAUACCCUGGUAGUCCACGCCGUAAACGAUGAGUGCUAGUUGUUUGGGGCUAUCCAGCCCUAAGUGACGCAGCAAACGCAUUAAGCACUCCGCCUGGGGAGUACGACCGCAAGGUUGAAACUCAAAGGAAUUGACGGGGGCCCGCACAAGCGGUGGAGCAUGUGGUUUAAUUCGAAGCAACGCGAAGAACCUUACCAGGUCUUGACAUACUCGUGCUAUUCCUAGAGAUAGGAAGUUCCUUCGGGACACGGGAUACAGGUGGUGCAUGGUUGUCGUCAGCUCGUGUCGUGAGAUGUUGGGUUAAGUCCCGCAACGAGCGCAACCCUUAUUGUUAGUUGCCAUCAUUAAGUUGGGCACUCUAGCGAGACUGCCGGUAAUAAACCGGAGGAAGGUGGGGAUGACGUCAAAUCAUCAUGCCCCUUAUGACCUGGGCUACACACGUGCUACAAUGGUUGGUACAACGAGUCGCAAGACAGUGAUGUCAAGCUAAUCUCUUAAAGCCAAUCUCAGUUCGGAUUGUAGGCUGCAACUCGCCUACAUGAAGUCGGAAUCGCUAGUAAUCGCGGAUCAGCACGCCGCGGUGAAUACGUUCCCGGGCCU
This 857-nucleotide ribosomal RNA is filed under the name uncultured bacterium. RNAcentral's name for it is "SSU rRNA". It matches the Rfam family "Bacterial small subunit ribosomal RNA", at positions 524 to 1381 of the family's 1533-position model. The record is from RNAcentral.